RNAcentral lists this ribosomal RNA (1040 nucleotides) under Staphylococcus saprophyticus. RNAcentral describes it as "bacterial SSU rRNA". It matches the Rfam family "Bacterial small subunit ribosomal RNA", at positions 87 to 1109 of the family's 1533-position model. Lineage: Bacteria; Bacillati; Bacillota; Bacilli; Caryophanales; Staphylococcaceae. The record is from RNAcentral.
UUGAGUUAGCGGCGGACGGGUGAGUAACACGUGGGUAACCUACCUAUAAGACUGGGAUAACUUCGGGAAACCGGAGCUAAUACCGGAUAACAUUUAGAACCGCAUGGUUCUAAAGUGAAAGAUGGUUUUGCUAUCACUUAUAGAUGGACCCGCGCCGUAUUAGCUAGUUGGUAAGGUAACGGCUUACCAAGGCGACGAUACGUAGCCGACCUGAGAGGGUGAUCGGCCACACUGGAACUGAGACACGGUCCAGACUCCUACGGGAGGCAGCAGUAGGGAAUCUUCCGCAAUGGGCGAAAGCCUGACGGAGCAACGCCGCGUGAGUGAUGAAGGGUUUCGGCUCGUAAAACUCUGUUAUUAGGGAAGAACAAAUGUGUAAGUAACUGUGCACAUCUUGACGGUACCUAAUCAGAAAGCCACGGCUAACUACGUGCCAGCAGCCGCGGUAAUACGUAGGUGGCAAGCGUUAUCCGGAAUUAUUGGGCGUAAAGCGCGCGUAGGCGGUUUCUUAAGUCUGAUGUGAAAGCCCACGGCUCAACCGUGGAGGGUCAUUGGAAACUGGGAAACUUGAGUGCAGAAGAGGAAAGUGGAAUUCCAUGUGUAGCGGUGAAAUGCGCAGAGAUAUGGAGGAACACCAGUGGCGAAGGCGACUUUCUGGUCUGUAACUGACGCUGAUGUGCGAAAGCGUGGGGAUCAAACAGGAUUAGAUACCCUGGUAGUCCACGCCGUAAACGAUGAGUGCUAAGUGUUAGGGGGUUUCCGCCCCUUAGUGCUGCAGCUAACGCAUUAAGCACUCCGCCUGGGGAGUACGACCGCAAGGUUGAAACUCAAAGGAAUUGACGGGGACCCGCACAAGCGGUGGAGCAUGUGGUUUAAUUCGAAGCAACGCGAAGAACCUUACCAAAUCUUGACAUCCUUUGAAAACUCUAGAGAUAGAGCCUUCCCCUUCGGGGGACAAAGUGACAGGUGGGUGCAUGGUUGUCGUCAGCUCGUGUCGUGAGAUGUUGGGGUUAAGUCCCGCAACGAGCGCAACCCUUUAA